CUGGCGUUCGGUAUAGCGUGUGGCUGCGCGAUACCGGAGGCGAGACUCAAAUCAGACCACUAAACAUGUAGAUCUGCUCGAGGAUGGCUUGCGGACGGGGGUUCAAAUCCCCCCAGCUCCACCA
This 124-nucleotide transfer-messenger RNA is filed under the name Rhodoferax sp. RNAcentral's name for it is "partial transfer-messenger RNA". It matches the Rfam family "transfer-messenger RNA", at positions 250 to 374 of the family's 374-position model. Rfam says of the family: Bacterial tmRNA, also known as 10Sa RNA or SsrA, is named for its dual tRNA and mRNA-like properties. Its role is to liberate the mRNA from a stalled ribosome. Lineage: Bacteria; Pseudomonadati; Pseudomonadota; Betaproteobacteria; Burkholderiales; Comamonadaceae. The record is from RNAcentral.